AGUUCUUGUAGUUAAAUAAUAACGGUGGUUUUUCAAGCCAUUAAUCCUGGUUAGAGUCCUGGCAGGAAUUA
This 71-nucleotide transfer RNA is filed under the name Pygoplites diacanthus. RNAcentral's name for it is "tRNA-Glu". It matches the Rfam family "tRNA". Rfam says of the family: Transfer RNA (tRNA) molecules are approximately 80 nucleotides in length. Lineage: Eukaryota; Metazoa; Chordata; Actinopteri; Pomacanthidae. The record is from RNAcentral.